Capra hircus (goat) is the source of this 1976-nucleotide long non-coding RNA. The record is from Ensembl. Lineage: Eukaryota; Metazoa; Chordata; Mammalia; Artiodactyla; Bovidae.
GUCAGUGAGUGAGACAGAGGCUUUGGGCCCAAGUGGGCGGGGCAGCAACUAACGAAGAGAAGAGACCUGUGUGGAGAAAGCACCACAGGCCAGCCAGGCCACCAGCUCGCAGGUCACGCAAGGAGACUGCUUGGCCUGCUCAUGCGCCAAAAGACUGGAACUCCCUGAUGGCUUUCAGGGAAGCGUUUUUAAAAGGCAAAGUGAUGGAGAAGGUCUCAGGUAGGUGAUCAGCUUGUAGACAUCCUUCUGAUUAGUUGGUGAUGAGGUAAAGGUGAUAUUUUAGGAAUCAACAUCAUCCCUUCCAGAACAUCCUUUCCAGCUGGUCCAGGAUCUAGUGCUUGUGGGUGGCAUACAGUUAGCUUCUUUGACUUGGUGGCGGGCUUCAGUAUCUGCAAAACAACUCAAUGGUUUGGCUCAGAAUAGUAUCAAUAGCCCUUGAGGAGGAACUAAAGGUCCUUGACUUUGUUUUAUGGCUAAACUGUUAUUUUUGUCUUACUUGUCUGUUUUCCUUUGGUUCUGCAUUUUCUGACUUCUCUGAUUAAAUUUGCUCUUUGGAACUUGGGGAAAGCAUAGGGAACUAAUGUUCUAAUACAAACAAGAGAAAGGGACACAGGACAGGGGUUCUGUGCCCAGGAAGGCCCCACAGUGUCCUGCUCAGUUGCAAACACGGAGACAGCAUGAUUUCUGUCGGAUACACCAAGUCCUAUUCUUCCAGUAUUCACCAGUCUGCUAAUUUUCAGGAUAAAAAUGUGUACUUGAUACCUUUGUUUCCUGUUUGGAGUCACAAAACUAUUCCAUUUUGUCAUUAAGUGCAGAUAUCAAAUAUACACAGUCUUUGUCUUUGUGGUCCCUGCACCAAGUGGCCCCAUGCCUUCUACAUCCAGCUGCUCCUUCCCUGUGACUCUGCACUGGUUCCCUGUUCUCUUGUUUUCUCCCUCCUCUGGAUCACCUUUGGGAGACGUGACCACACUCUCCUGGACACAGUUGGGGGUGGGGAUGCUGUGAUCAUGGUGUCCCCACCCUUAGCCGAGAGAGGACAGCUGGGCCUCAGUCCCCCGGACCCCGGCCUCCCGACCUGCCUUCCCUCCACUUGCAGCUGAGCACAGCUGGAGACACUUGGAGGGGGCUUGUGCGGGACAUAUCAGCACACCCACGGCCAUCAGGACCGGGUCAGAGAUGCCCACCAAGGACCCCAUCCAGAGGCCUGGGGAAGGCAGAGUCGCACACCUGCAGGAAACUUGAGUUUUUCCCGCCGUCACUGUUCCUGUGGAGUUCUGGGCUCAGGGACAGGUCUGGUGACAGAAGAGAAUUAAAUUCUAAAUGUAGAGAAUUAAAUUCUAAAUGUGAUCCUCUGUGGUUCCAGACCCAAGUCCUCUCUCCUCACAGGUCCAGUGUGAGCCCCACCAGCCUCCUGAUUCUCACAUUCCCAGUUUAUAUUCAGCAUGUAAACCUGCAAGGCAGGUGAGGGAAACAUGCAAAGAGGACAUUGCUUUGCUGCUUUCAGCAAAAACACAAAGGAAAAAACUUGUGAAGUUACACAGAGAUCUGGAAUUAGAAUGGCUUCAAAUUGAACAGAAAAUGUUCUCACAUCAUCCCCGUGGCCCAGGUAACAGGAGUCAGGAAGGUCUCAGUGGACAAUGCGCUGACAUGAGCUAUACACGUCCCCAGGCCAGUUCCUGCAUGUGGCAUUUACAGCUGCGAUGUCUCAGAGAGAUGGGUCCCAGGGAAGGUGGAAUGCAGGGCAGAAAACAGAAGCAGAAAGAGGGGGAAGUGUGUGAGAACAAGGGUGGCUAAGUCCUCCUGGGGCAGGAUGGCCCAGGAAGAAGCCCAUCCCUGAAUGUGCUACAAAACCUUUCAUUGUGGCCUCUGCCUGUCCCACCCUGUGCCAAAAUAAACCCCCAGGCCAUCCUGAAGAAGCAAGACCUUUCAUUUCACACACAAGUGGCAACUCGUCCCGCUGCCCACAUUGACUGGCC